This 667-nucleotide ribosomal RNA is filed under the name uncultured bacterium. RNAcentral describes it as "bacterial SSU rRNA". It matches the Rfam family "Bacterial small subunit ribosomal RNA", at positions 111 to 794 of the family's 1533-position model. The record is from RNAcentral.
UAACGCGUGGGCAACCUGCCCCNUACAGGGGGAUAACAGCCGGAAACGGCUGCUAAAACCGCAUAAGCGCACAAGGGCCGCAUGGCCUGGUGUGAAAAACUCCGGUGGUAUGGGAUGGGCCCGCGUCUGAUUAGCUAGUUGGCGGGGGAGAGGCCCACCAAGGCGACGAUCAGUAGCCGACCUGAGAGGGUGGCCGGCCACAUUGGGACUGAGACACGGCCCAAACUCCUACGGGAGGCAGCAGUGGGGAAUAUUGCACAAUGGGGGAAACCCUGAUGCAGCGACGCCGCGUGAGCGAAGAAGUAUUUCGGUAUGUAAAGCUCUAUCANCAGGGAAGAAAAAUGACGGUACCUGAGUAAGAAGCACCGGCUAAAUACGUGCCAGCAGCCGCGGUAAUACGUAUGGUGCAAGCGUUAUCCGGAUUUACUGGGUGUAAAGGGAGCGCAGGCGGUGCGGCAAGUCUGAUGUGAAAGCCCGGGGCUCAACCCCGGGACUGCAUUGGAAACUACCGAACUAGAGUGUCGGAGAGGUAAGUGGAAUUCCUAGUGUAGCGGUGAAAUGCGUAGAUAUUAGGAGGAACACCGGUGGCGAAGGCGGCUUACUGGACUGUAACUGACGUUGAGGCUCGAAAGCGUGGGGAGCAAACAGGAUUAGAUACCCUGGUAGU